RNAcentral lists this long non-coding RNA (873 nucleotides) under Salmo salar (Atlantic salmon). Its description in RNAcentral is "lncRNA (ENSSSAG00000099991.1)". Lineage: Eukaryota; Metazoa; Chordata; Actinopteri; Salmoniformes; Salmonidae. The record is from RNAcentral.
AUCUAACAUAAACAACCUUUAGAGUUCUCUUUGAGGGAAUCAAAGAGCAAUUCCAGGAUUGUUGAAACUCCCAUCAACAAAGGAAGUGAUGGGAUCUGAAUUACAGCCGGAACAGUUGGUAAUCUUCAAACGCAGCUGUUGACUGACAGAGAGGGACACAGAUGGAAAUGUGUGAGCCCGGUGUCAUAUCAGAGUAUCAGACCCCAGGCAGCUGGUGGAGGGGAACACAUGUCCCAGGUCUCUUUGGUGGGGAAAACAACACAGGUCCCAGGUCUCUUUGGUGGGGAAAACAACACAGGUCCCAGGUCUCUUUGGUGGGGAAAACAACACAGGUCCCAGGUCUCUUUGGUGGAGAAAACAACACAACAGGUCCCAGGUCUCUUUGGUGGAGAAAACAACACAACAGGUCCCAGGUCUCUUUGGUGGAGAAAACAACACAACAGGUCCCAGGUCUCUUUGGUGGAGAAAACAACACAACAGGUCCCAGGUCUCUUUGGUGGAGAAAACAACACAACAGGUCCCAGGUCUCUUUGGUGGGGAAAACAACACAGGUCCCAGGUCUCUUUGGUGGAGAAAACAACACAACAGGUCCCAGGUCUCUUUGGUGGAGAAAACAACACAACAGGUCCCAGGUCUCUUUGAAGAUCAGUGAGGUGAGAAUAUAGUCAGUCAGUCAGUCAGUCAGUCAGUCAGUCAGUCAGUCAGACAGACAGACAGACAGACAGACAGACAGACAGACAGACAGACAGACAGACAGACAGGCAUUUUCUUAUUUGUCAUUGUUAUUAUUUAACCUUUAUUUAACUAGGCAAGUCAGGUAGACAGGUAGACAGGCAGACAUGUAGACAGGGAGGCAGGCAGACAGGCAGGCAG